This is a non-coding RNA of Phrynosoma platyrhinos (Desert horned lizard), 72 nucleotides long. The record is from the annotation of a GenBank genome assembly. Lineage: Eukaryota; Metazoa; Chordata; Lepidosauria; Squamata; Phrynosomatidae.
GGCAGCAUGGUGCAGUGGUUUGAGCGUUGGACUACGAUUCUGGAGCCCCGGGUUCGAAUCCCGGCUCAGCCU